ACACCUGUAGUUCAAAGGAUAGAACAAAAGCUUCCGAAGCUUUAGAUACAGGUUCAAUUCCUGUCAGGUGUACCA
RNAcentral lists this transfer RNA (75 nucleotides) under Candidatus Kinetoplastidibacterium kentomonadis. Its description in RNAcentral is "Candidatus Kinetoplastibacterium sorsogonicusi tRNA-Arg". It matches the Rfam family "tRNA". From Rfam's summary of the family: Transfer RNA (tRNA) molecules are approximately 80 nucleotides in length. The record is from RNAcentral. Lineage: Bacteria; Pseudomonadati; Pseudomonadota; Betaproteobacteria.